Molecule: ribosomal RNA, 468 nt
Filed under: uncultured bacterium
Lineage: Bacteria
Description: partial 16S ribosomal RNA
Rfam family: Bacterial small subunit ribosomal RNA
Source: RNAcentral
GACGAACGCUGGCGGCGUGCUUAACACAUGCAAGUCGAACGGAAAGGCCCUGCUUUUGUGGGGUGCUCGAGUGGCGAACGGGUGAGUAACACGUGAGUAACCUGCCCUUGACUUUGGGAUAUCUUCAGGAAACUGGGGCUAAUACCGGAUAGGAGCUCCUGCUGCAUGGUGGGGGUUGGAAAGUUUCGGCGGUUGGGGAUGGACUCGCGGCUUAUCAGCUUGUUGGUGGGGUAGUGGCUUACCAAGGCUUUGACGGGUAGCCGGCCUGAGAGGGUGACCGGCCACAUUGGGACUGAGAUACGGCCCAGACUCCUACGGGAGGCAGCAGUGGGGAAUAUUGCACAAUGGGCGGAAGCCUGAUGCAGCAACGCCGCGUGCGGGAUAACGGCCUUCGGGUUGUAAACCGCUUUCGCCUGUGACGAAGCGUGAGUGACGGUAAUGGGUAAAGAAGCACCGGCUAACUACGUG